AACGCGAAGAACCUUACCUGGGCUCGAACGGCUGGUCAACGCCGGUGGAAACAUCGGUACCCCGCAAGGGGGUCCAGUCGAGGUGCUGCAUGGCUGUCGUCAGCUCGUGUCGUGAGAUGUUGGGUUAAGUCCCGCAACGAGCGCAACCCUUGUCCUGUGUUGCCAUCAUUCAGUUGGGAACUCGCAGGAGACCGCCAGCGAUAAGCUGGAGGAAGGUGGGGAUGACGUCAAGUCCUCAUGGCCUUUAUGUCCAGGGCUACACACGUGCUACAAUGGCCGGUACAAAGCGCCGCAAACCCGCGAGGGGGAGCCAAUCGCAAAAAACCGGUCUCAGUUCGGAUUGCAGGCUGCAACCCGCCUGCAUGAAGCUGGAAUCGCUAGUAAUGGCAGAUCAGCACGCUGCCGUGAAUACGUUCCCGGGCCUUGUA
This 428-nucleotide ribosomal RNA is filed under the name uncultured Acidobacterium sp. RNAcentral describes it as "bacterial SSU rRNA". It matches the Rfam family "Bacterial small subunit ribosomal RNA", at positions 958 to 1385 of the family's 1533-position model. The record is from RNAcentral. Lineage: Bacteria; Pseudomonadati; Acidobacteriota; Terriglobia; Terriglobales; Acidobacteriaceae.